This is a non-coding RNA of Chiloscyllium plagiosum (whitespotted bambooshark), 2046 nucleotides long. Lineage: Eukaryota; Metazoa; Chordata; Chondrichthyes; Orectolobiformes; Hemiscylliidae. The record is from RefSeq and is a predicted model, not a curated record.
AAUUUCUGGGCAGGUGAACCGGGGAAAAUGUGAAAUUGAAAAUAGCUGGAUAGCCCUUUCACAUGCACGGUGUUCUAUGCUAUAAGUUUCCAUCAGUCAGUGCUGCCGGGGUUUGGCGAGGACCAGGCAGGUCUACAAAAGACAACUGGCAGCUCUCGGGUUCGCGCAGAGGCAGCUGCUUGCGUUGACCCUGUGCUGGACCGUGUUCAUCAUUCAGCAGUCAGCUUAGUAUUGAUUCGGGAUGUUGGUGCCGGAUUCUCUGCAGGACUGAGCCGCUUCAUUUAUUUACAGUGCGGCUGCUAAUUCUGUGACAGGAAGCAAAAAAAAAAGCAUAUCACAAGGCGUAGGUCACCUUUAGCUUCACAUCAUCUGUAGAAAUUGCAGCAGGAUGUCUUUUAAGAGAGAAAUGCCACUUGCAAAUGCGGUAUUCUGGACUGCACGAAAAGGAAACGUGACUCUAUUGAGGCUACUUUUAAACAGUGGUCGAAUGGAUGCAGACUGCAAAGACAGUCUUGGGACCACUGCUCUGAUGGUGGCUUCAUACUGCAAUAAUAAGGAUUGUGUUCGAGAACUGAUCCUGCAAGGAGCAGACAUUAAUCUCCAAAGAGAGUCAGGUUCCACAGCAUUAUACUUUGCUGCUCAACAAGGAAACGAUACCAUUGUGAAAUUUCUUUUGGAGUAUGGGGCCUCCACUGAACUAGCAACUAAAGAUGGUGCUACUCCACUUUCAAUUGCCAGUCAGUAUGGACAUAUCAAAGUGGUGGAUAUAUUACUCAACAGAAGAUGCAAUGUUAACAUCCAGCUUAAGGAUGGUGCUACAUCACUUUUCCUGGCAGCACAAGGCGGCCAUCUAAAUGUGGUUAAGAUGCUGCUUGCGUCAGGAGCAAAGAUUGACCAACCAAGACAGGAUCUAACGACUCCAUUGUGGAUAGCAGCACAGAUGGGAUACAGUGAAGUUGUAAAGCUGCUGCUUCAGUGGGGAGCUCAUUCAGAUACUGCUCGUAAGGAUGGCUCAACACCUUUAUUCAAAGCUGCAUACAAAGGUUUUAUUGAAGUUGUUCGAGAGUUACUAACAUGUUCUCCUUCAUUGGGAAUUCUUAAGAAUGGAACAACAGCUCUUCACGCUGCAGUUUUAGGAGGCAGUGUCAGAACAGUGGGCCUUCUCAUUGAUUCUGGAGCAGAUCCAAACCUAAGAAAUACGGCAGAGGAAUUGCCAGCAGAUCUUACAAGGAAUGAUCGCCUAAUCCAACAGCUUCAAUCAAAACAAAGUGGAGAAAGCUGAAGAUGUGGAACCAAACUAGGUUCAAGGCUCAUUCUGACAAACCCAUCAGAGUACAGUGAGAACUGUAUAAUGGCACCACUCUGACCAGGGUCACCAUUCUUCUGGUUGUUCCAUAAAAAUUAUUGAGCUAUAUAAAGGGCAGUCCCUCAGAAUUGACAAUGGCUUGCUUCCAAUGGCGUUUGAUGGACAUCAUCCAUUUCAGAAUAUAAUGAACAUCUACGGACUCUGCUGCAGGGGCACAGAUUAAUAAGAACAGGAUAAAUAGGAGCAGGAAUAGAUCAUUCUGCCCCUCAAGCUUUCAGCAAGAUCAUGGUUUACUACCCUAGGCCUGAACACCUCUUUUGUACCAACUCAAAUAGCCCUCAACUCCUUGAUACUUCAAAAUUCUAUCUACUUUGACUUCAAAUACUUUCAGAGAUCUCGCCUCCACAGCUCUCUGGGAUAGAAGAUUUUAUUACACUAUGGGAGAAGAAAUUCUUUUGCAUUCAGUUUUAAAUGAGUGUCCCUUCACUCUGAAAUUAUGUCCCUAGAUCGAGAUUUCCCACUAGUAGAAACAUCUUCUCAACAUUUACUCUAUUAAACUGUCUCAGAAUCUUGUAUAUUUAAAUGACACACAUUCUUAUAAAUUCUAAUGAAUGAUGACCUAACGUAUUUAGCUGUCCUUGAAGGUCAACCCCUUUGUCUCAGGGAUCUGUUUAUAAAAUAGGGGCAGCACAGUGGCUCAGAGGUUAGCACUGCUGUCUCACAGCGCCAGGAACCCAGGU